CAGUUCUGAAUGGAGCCAUUCCC
RNAcentral lists this non-coding RNA (23 nucleotides) under Rattus norvegicus (Norway rat). The record is from RNAcentral. Lineage: Eukaryota; Metazoa; Chordata; Mammalia; Rodentia; Muridae.